CUCACAAGCCCAGAGGGGUAAGAUGAUGACCGCUUCCAGCAGUAGUAUCCUGUUGGCCUGGCUGGAUCCCCAGCAAAAAGUUAGGAAAGAAUUAUACUUAAAAACUGUAAUUGGAAUUAAUGUGCUGAGGACAGAAGACUACUCUAAAGCACCGCUGGCUCAGGAGGCAAGUGGCUGAAAAUUUAACAGAACAGGCAUCUGUGCUUCUGCUGUCCUGGAACUGAUGCGGCGCUGGUUGGCUCCUGGUGGAGAAGAGGGCAUCUGGGGGCAGCUUGCCUUCUCCUGACUUUCUUUCUUUUACACCUACUGUGGUGCUGGCACACAGUAGAUUUAUAGCUGUGGAAGGAAUGGAUGAAAAGAAGAGAAGAAAAACAUGAGACUCGCCAAAAAUUAAAAUAUUUGCAUUUUUUCUUGUAAAAAAUGGCUUGAAUUUUAAUAUCUUAGAGACUUGAUAAAUUAGCACCUUUUUGUUAGAUUUACUUUUAAAGAAUAUGAAGGGGGUUUGCUUGCAGUUUUGCGUGUUGGUCUAACUGUGUUCUGCUUACCUGUGUAUUCGAUGGAAGGACGAGGAGGCAGAAUCUUCUUAGAAAACUGAGUUAAAGGUGUUAUGUGUGGUCAGACAGCUGAAAUGAACCAGUCAUGAUGCUGAGGAAAGAGCAGUUGGUCACCCCUUGACUCAUGGGAAGACUGAUUUAAAAUUGCAAUUGAAUAGCUCAAUUGCUUAAUAUUAUCUGUGCUAAGCAUAUGUGGAUGAAGAUGCUGAAAUUAGAAUUUGACACUGUCUACACAUUACCAGCCAUACACGCUGGUUUGCCUGGAACAGUCUGGCUAACUCUCAAGGCCCCAUGCCAGUGUCGGGAACGCCUUUAUCUCUCAGCAGUGCUCCUAAUUAGAUGAUCAUUAUAUAGUGACUUCGUGUACAGUGCGUAGAUUGGAACACAGUGUUGAAAAGUAUUAACACAUUAUGGCUAAGGAUAUUACCUAACCUUAAUUAAAAAAAAAAACAGUUUUUUUUGUGAGGUAUAAUUUGCAGAGCAUGGUCAUCCAUUGUAAAUGUGUGAUUGCAUGGUUUUUAGUAAAUUUUUACUUUUUAAAUCAACACGGUGUGUAAUUUUAGAGCUCUUUUAUCAUUCUAAGAUGUUUCUUUAUUUCCAGCUAGUCCUCACUCCUACUUCUAGUCCCAGGUAAAUCAGGAUCUGCUUUCUGUAUUGAAAAUUCGCCCUUUGGGAUGCCUGGGUGUCUUAGCGGUUGAACGUCUGCCUUUGGCUCAGGGAGUGAUCCUGGUCCUGGAUCAAGUCUCACAUCAGGAUCCCUGCAUAGAGACUGGUUCUUCCUCUGCCUAUGUUUCUGCCUCUCUCUGUGUAUCUCUCAUGAAUAAAUAAAUAAAAUCUUUGAAAAAAGAAAAUUUGACCUUUAUGGAAAAUUUAUAUAACUGCAGAAUAUGUCAUUUUUUUUGCAUGCGGCUUCUUUUUCAUAGUAUGAUGUUCUUUUUUUAAAAUUUUUUUUAUUGGUG
This 1513-nucleotide long non-coding RNA is filed under the name Canis lupus familiaris (dog). RNAcentral describes it as "lncRNA (ENSCAFG00845021799.1)". The record is from RNAcentral. Lineage: Eukaryota; Metazoa; Chordata; Mammalia; Carnivora; Canidae.